GGCGAGCUACAGUAGAUCAUCUAAAAUCGAGAUCGUGGAGAUUGUAGAGUGCGUGUUGGUUUCACACGAUCUGGAAUAGAUCGGUCGAGGAUGAUCUAAAAUAGAUUGUCGAAGGUCGAAAAGUCAAAAAUCACUGCUGAUGGGGCAUAUUCGUUGACCUUCAUCUCUGUCGUGUAUCUGUAUCUGAUGAGCGCUCAUCUUCCAUAGCUUGGUCGGUGCCGAAGAUGUUACAGCCGA
RNAcentral lists this long non-coding RNA (237 nucleotides) under Elaeis guineensis (African oil palm). Its description in RNAcentral is "long non-coding RNA (EGUI_LNC000903)". The record is from RNAcentral. Lineage: Eukaryota; Viridiplantae; Streptophyta; Magnoliopsida; Arecales; Arecaceae.